RNAcentral lists this long non-coding RNA (1136 nucleotides) under Heterocephalus glaber (naked mole-rat). RNAcentral's name for it is "lncRNA (ENSHGLG00100038558.1)". Lineage: Eukaryota; Metazoa; Chordata; Mammalia; Rodentia; Bathyergidae. The record is from RNAcentral.
ACAGGAUGCUAGCGAGGUCCUCCCCCUCAGUGUCCCCUCUAGUCAGUGGUCACAGUGGGCAGGGAGCCCUGGGUGCCACCCAGCCCAUGGGCCAGCCCCUCCUCCCUGCACAGCCCCUGCUGUGACAAACUGGUGGAUCUCAGGAGUGGGGCAACCCCGAGGAACAAGCGGCUGCUGACUCUCCAGACCUUCAACCCAGGGGCCCUGUGGUGGAGGCAACCUGAGCACCACCGGAGUCUCCACCUGCCCCAGGCCUCUGUCAAGCUCUGUGUGGAUUCCGGGAGCCUUGAAAGCGUCUCCCUGCCGCAGCGCUGCUCAGGCUGUGCCUUUCAGGGUGCCAGAGUCACACAAGUAAGAGCCAAGGAAAUUCGCGCCUCCUCUCCCAGGGUGUGAGCUGCUGAGGACACUGGGGACGGCGACGCAGAGCUGCAGAGCUGCACUUCUCAGCCCCAGGCUGAAGCCCAAGACCCAGGCGGCUCUUCGAGGUCCUUCUUGCUGUGUCCUCUCGUGGCGAAGGGCGUGGGGGACAGUGCGGCCUCCUGAGCCGCUUUGGGAAGGGCCUUCCUCCCCUCUACCAGGAGGGUCCCCGAGGCCGGCCAGCUCCACACGGCGACGCCUGGUUUCCUGGGGGCCACCUCCAGAGCACAGAGGCCACUGUGCAGAAAGAGGCCGGCAGAGUGACCGGCAGACAGCUGCGCCCCGAGCGCCCACUCCGUCCACUUCAUGGACGCCCCCCGAGUCACCUUUCUUGGCUGAGACGCGGGUGACCCGGGGACGUGGAGGAGGGAGGCCCUGUCCUUGCCUCAUGCUGCUCCGGAUGCAGCUUCCCAAGCCGCUUCCAGGGCUCUGCGCCCUGCCCCCGCCCAGCACAGGCCCCGGGGGCUGCCUCAAGUCACCUCUAGGUUACCCAGGACACGGACACCACGAAGCGUUCUGCGGCAUUGUUGGGAAGUAAGACAAGAGAACAGUCUGCUCAGCUCCGCACAGACAGCUUUGUCCGGAAGCUUCCGGUCCACGGGUUGGUUGGAACCUCGGAUGCAGAACCCAGGGACGCGGAGGCUGAUGGGACCAUGCAGGUGGCAUCGUGCUUUCUGUCUGGCUGAAGGAAGAUGCUCCCCAGCCCUGCGACUCCAGGC